Molecule: non-coding RNA, 71 nt
Organism: Phrynosoma platyrhinos (Desert horned lizard)
Lineage: Eukaryota; Metazoa; Chordata; Lepidosauria; Squamata; Phrynosomatidae
Source: the annotation of a GenBank genome assembly
GCCAAUGUGGUGGAAUGGUUAAAGCACUGGACUAUGACUCCGGAACUGGGGUUUGAAUCCACAUUCGGCCA